RNAcentral lists this ribosomal RNA (329 nucleotides) under uncultured bacterium. RNAcentral describes it as "bacterial SSU rRNA". It matches the Rfam family "Bacterial small subunit ribosomal RNA", at positions 28 to 334 of the family's 1533-position model. The record is from RNAcentral.
GACGAACGCUGGCGGCGCGCCUAACACAUGCAAGUCGAGCGGAGUUUUUAAGUGGAAGCUUUCGGGUGGAAAUUUUGAAACUUAGCGGCGGACGGGUGAGUAACACGUGAGCAACCUGCCUUUCAGAGGGGGAUAACGUUUGGAAACGAACGCUAAUACCGCAUAACAACACUAGACGCAUGUCUAGAGUUUGAAAGAUGGUUCUGCUAUCACUCUUGGAUGGACCUGCGGUGCAUUAGCUAGUUGGUAAGGUAACGGCUUACCAAGGCAAUGAUGCAUAGCCGAGUUGAGAGACUGAUCGGCCACAUUGGGACUGAGACACGGCCCAA